Molecule: long non-coding RNA, 231 nt
Organism: Amphimedon queenslandica
Lineage: Eukaryota; Metazoa; Porifera; Demospongiae; Haplosclerida; Niphatidae
Exons: 3
Source: RefSeq, a predicted model, not a curated record
GCACAAAAUAAACUUUUUGAGUCUUUCAAUGAUUUUAUUGAAAUCAAAACUGCUGUUGCAUCUAUGACAUGUUUGCUCAGUGAAGUGUUUUCUAAUAAUCCUUCACUUUGUAAAAGACUAUCUGAAAAUGAUAUCAGGAAGUUAUUUUUUAUGUCCAUUAGGAGCAGUAAUCCUGAGCACUAUGAAUUAACCGUCACAUUGCAAACCAUUAUACAGAAUACAGAGCCAGCC